GCUGUCUAUCGCGGAUCCGAGGUAACGUAACCGAGGUUAGAAGAGGUCAGGGAAUAGAGAGGAAAUGGGAUGGAGGUAGACUAAGAGUUGGGGAAGAUAGGGUUAGGGAAAAUAGAGGUGAGUAGAGAGUAGAAGAGAAGAAAAAUUGGGGAAGAAGAGUUUAGAGAGUUGGGGGAGAAGAAAGAACUUCAAUAAUUUUCCAUUCAUUGAUAUCCUGUUUACAUGAUAAUAUGGUAUUUAUACUACUUAGUAAAUUGAACUGGAAUGAAAAACACCUAGUCUACGAGGGCUAAACUGUAAUUUGUCAAAAUGGGGGUGGGGGAAUGGGGAAAUGGGGGACGGGUUGAAUUCGGAUGCCUUGUGGGCCUCGGGUGGGCCUUCCCGGUCCAGGAUGUUGGUUAUCGGGCAAGCGGGCGUCGGUUCCGCCCUUCUCCGCACUAUCCGCAACCCGGCGGGUACUGGGCUCGACAUUUUCCCCCGAUCCGCCUACUACUUCUCCUUCGCCCCCAAUUGCGUAGAUCGCGGUCCUCCCAUCUUCCCUCUGUACGCCGACGAUGCCCUAAUCCUCGUCGCUCGCCGGAAUUUCGCCGGAACCAGAACCUGGAGAAGAGCCGCAUCACAGGCAUCACGAAGCACCUGGAGAAGAACCAGAACCCUAGCUGGCACCAGGUGUUCGCCUUCUCCAAGGACUGCAUCCAGGCGAACUUCGUGGGCCGCAUCGUCUUCGACCUCACCGACGUGCCCCUCGCCCCGCAGUGGUACAAGCUCGAGGACAAGAAGGGCGACAAGCUCUCCUCCGGCGUCGGCGGCGGCGAGCUCAUGCUCGCCGUGUGGAUCGGCACCCAAGCCGACGAGGCCUUCCCCGACGCCUGGCACUCCGUCUCCCUCGACGUCCUUGCCGUUGUUACACUGAGGAAGCUCUCGGCGGCGGCAUCUAGGGUUCCGGCGGAGCCGCGACGACCGCGCCGUGUGGCUCGCCGAGAAUCCCCUCUAGCACGCCCAGCUCUCCCUCAACGUCACCGAUCUCUACAUCAGUGGGAUGAUUUGUUCGGAUCUCCAUUCCCAGCAAAUCCCGUGAAGGAACCUCAUGUCUCUUACCCCAAGAAACGGAAGGAUUCUUUGUCAGUCAGAGACAACGAUCAGUUUAUUUUACGUAAAAGAAGAAAAAAAUGGAGUUCAUUGGAAGAGGAGACCUUGAGAAAAUCUGUGGAAAGUCGGGACGGAAGGAGAUAGUUUUAGAUCUGGCAAAGUUUGUAGACAAGGGCGUCCAAGUGAAGCUAACUGGUGGGAGACAAUCCAAGGCCUAAGAAUAUCAGCUCUGGCAGUUAUAGUUGUUUCAGAUUGGGUUCAGCAAUUUUGGUCAGAAAAGUCUAUGAAACAAAGAGAUCACUGAAACUGAGGGAGAACAAAUAAAAGGGAGAAAGUUAAAGCUACUGCCGAAUUUCAAUGCAUUUGGAGGUAUACUCACAGGAACUUUGAAAGGUUAUGAUCGGCUACUAAACCUGGUUCUUGAUAAUUCGAGUACUCAUUACAAUAAAGUUGCAUAAAAUACGGGAUGCUCUAGUUCUUUUUUAUACGCCUCAAUCUAGUGACAUGAUUAUUCUUCUUAAGCCCAUGGAUCUUUUCUAUUGGAAUCUUCACUCUUUAAGGAUGAGUCUUCAUGAACUGUAGUUUGAACUUCUUUAUUGGAGCGCAUAGAACUUUUCUUUCGCCUAUAUAAUUUUUUAACUAUAUAUUAGUCUUCUUAUAAUUUGAAUUUUUUUUAGCUAUCUACUGUUUGAUUAACAUUUAUUUUGUGAUAAAAAUUGAUUUUGACAUUUAUUUGUACUCGCAACACUUUUGAGAAUGUAAUAGGUUUUUAUAUUCAGCUUA
Molecule: RNA transcript, 1872 nt
Organism: Ananas comosus (pineapple)
Lineage: Eukaryota; Viridiplantae; Streptophyta; Magnoliopsida; Poales; Bromeliaceae
Exons: 8
Source: RefSeq, a predicted model, not a curated record